UACGAAGGGGGCUAGCGUUGUUCGGAAUUACUGGGCGUAAAGCGCACGUAGGCGGAUAUUUAAGUCAGGGGUGAAAUCCCGGGGCUCAACCCCGGAACUGCCUUUGAUACUGGGUAUCUGGAGUAUGGAAGAGGUGAGUGGAAUUCCGAGUGUAGAGGUGAAAUUCGUAGAUAUUCGGAGGAACACCAGUGGCGAAGGCGGCUCACUGGUCCAUUACUGACGCUGAGGUGCGAAAGCGUGGGGAGCAACAGG
RNAcentral lists this ribosomal RNA (252 nucleotides) under uncultured bacterium. Its description in RNAcentral is "partial 16S ribosomal RNA". It matches the Rfam family "Bacterial small subunit ribosomal RNA", at positions 524 to 775 of the family's 1533-position model. The record is from RNAcentral.